CACGUAGGGCGCGAGCGUUGUCCGGAAUUAUUGGGCGUAAAGAGCUCGUAGGCGGCCUGUUGCGUCCGCUGUGAAAGCCCGGGGCUUAACCCCGGGUCUGCAGUGGAUACGGGCAGGCUAGAGGUAGGUAGGGGAGAAUGGAAUUCCCGGUGUAGCGGUGAAAUGCGCAGAUAUCGGGAGGAACACCGGUGGCGAAGGCGGUUCUCUGGGCAUUACCUGACGCUGAGGAGCGAAAGUGUGGGGAGCGAACAGG
Molecule: ribosomal RNA, 253 nt
Filed under: uncultured bacterium
Lineage: Bacteria
Description: partial 16S ribosomal RNA
Rfam family: Bacterial small subunit ribosomal RNA
Source: RNAcentral